ACUCCUACGGGAGGCAGCAGUGGGAAUAUUGCACAAUGGGCGCAAGCCUGAUGCAGCCAUGCCGCGUGUGUGAAGAAGGCCUUCGGGUUGUAAAGCACUUUCAGUUGUGAGGAAGGUGGUGUCGUUAAUAGCGGCAUCAUUUGACGUUAGCAACAGAAGAAGCACCGGCUAACUCCGUGCCAGCAGCCGCGGUAAUACAGAGGGUGCGAGCGUUAAUCGGAUUUACUGGGCGUAAAGCGUGCGUAGGCGGCCAUUUAAGUCAAAUGUGAAAAUCCCCGCGAUUAACUUAGGAAUUUGGCAAUUUGCUGAUACAUGGGAUGGCUAAGAGUAUGGGAGAGGAUGGUAGAAUUUCCAGGUGUAGCGGUGAAAUGCGUAGAGAUCUGGAGGAAUACCGAUGGCGAAGGCAGCCAUCUGGCCUAAUACUGACGCUGAGGUACGAAAGCAU
This 445-nucleotide ribosomal RNA is filed under the name uncultured bacterium. RNAcentral's name for it is "bacterial SSU rRNA". It matches the Rfam family "Bacterial small subunit ribosomal RNA", at positions 335 to 762 of the family's 1533-position model. The record is from RNAcentral.